CUACAUGAAGUCGGAAUUGCUAGUAAUCGCGGAUCAGCAUGCCGCGGUGAAUACGUUCCCGGGCCUUGUACACACCGCCCGUCACACCAUGAGAGCCGGUAACACCCGAAGUCAGUAGCCUAACCGCAAGGGGGCGCUGCCGAAGGUGGGAUUGGUAAUUGGGGUGAAGUCGUAACAAGGUAUC
RNAcentral lists this ribosomal RNA (184 nucleotides) under uncultured bacterium. RNAcentral's name for it is "partial 16S ribosomal RNA". It matches the Rfam family "Bacterial small subunit ribosomal RNA", at positions 1316 to 1500 of the family's 1533-position model. The record is from RNAcentral.